UACGUAGGGGGCAAGCGUUGUCCGGAAUCAUUGGGCGUAAAGCGCGUGUAGGCGGCUCGGUAAGUCUGCUGUGAAAGUCCAGGGCUCAACCCUGGGAUGCCGGUGGAUACUGUCGAGCUCGAGUCCGGAAGAGGAGUGUGGAAUUCCUGGUGUAGCGGUGAAAUGCGCAGAUAUCAGGAGGAACACCAAUGGCGAAGGCAGCACUCUGGGACGUGACUGACGCUGAGACGCGAAAGCGUGGGGAGCGAACAGG
This 253-nucleotide ribosomal RNA is filed under the name uncultured bacterium. Its description in RNAcentral is "partial 16S ribosomal RNA". It matches the Rfam family "Bacterial small subunit ribosomal RNA", at positions 524 to 776 of the family's 1533-position model. The record is from RNAcentral.